Long non-coding RNA from Cephus cinctus (wheat stem sawfly), 982 nucleotides. RefSeq lists it as uncharacterized. The record is from RefSeq and is a predicted model, not a curated record. Lineage: Eukaryota; Metazoa; Arthropoda; Insecta; Hymenoptera; Cephidae. The transcript is spliced from 3 exons.
AUCGUGCGUUCGUCGGUUCAUUCAUAGGGGCCCAGUGAAUGGCGUAGUGAGUCCCAACCGUGUAGUACUCGUAGUGCUUGCCCCGAGCGGGCCCGUUUCUCCGUUGCUUCUCAGAUAUCUCAUACUUCUCAUUAUAUCUCUGUCUUUGAGAUAUCAUAUGUGAUGAGUACUCUCAUAAUCUAUUACAUUAGCUCGUACUGUAUUUCGUGUAACAAUUGAAUAAGAUACAGCGAAUGACGUCAGAAGUUGAUUCCCUAGGAUAUGUUUUUUGCAGUAUCUUCUUACAAGACCCUGAGCUUCGUGUCUUCGUGAAUUUAAUUAUCUUUUUAUUUUUGGCGGCUAUUGAAGUAUACUACGAAACAUUUAAAAUCCACAAAGAUACAUAUAACCUCUUCUUUUUUAUACGUCUAGUAUAGGAGGCUGGGUCCAUAUUGUUUUUCGUACCGGUUGGAUCUCUAAUGAACUGGUUGGACCGCAGGUCAAACGUAGCAUAAUCGCCUUAAAAUCUCAAGUUAAGUUCGCCUGCCAUGUAUGGCGCCGGCUAACGGGUAGCCGAAACCUGUCCGAGUCAUGUCCGACCUUUACGAAAGUCGUAUCGAAAGAACGCGUAGCUAUAUAUAAUAUAGUAUAUUAUAUAUGUAUAUAUAACUAUAUGAACAUAUGAAAAUUAUGCUCUAUGGGUCAUGAAAAUAUUUGUAAGUUCACGUACGACACUCCCAUAAGGAUCGACGUAGAAUUCUGCAUUACCAAUAUACAUACAGAACGUAUAUAUUCCAAAGAUGCAAUAUAAGAUGCUUGUGCAGCAUCCUACCGUAUCGAGGAACUAAGGCCCAUUUCUAUAGAAAUUUUUGCGAUCGUUACCCUUCGGACCCAUGGGGAGCCGAAAACAUCUGCCUUGAGAUUCUUACGUUACUCUGGGCCUCCCUGACGUGGGACUUGCACGAAUUUACCGAUACCUGCCUUUACAAGGUAGCUGUGAAAU